Molecule: unclassified non-coding RNA, 163 nt
Filed under: soil metagenome
Description: partial internal transcribed spacer 1
Source: RNAcentral
UUAGAGUCUAAAAACUCCCUAAACCAUUGUGAAUUUACCUAUUCGUUGCUUCGGUGGGUGGUGCCCCUCCGGGGCCCUCCCGGCCGCAAGGCGCCCCGCCGGGGGUAUUUUUGAACACUAUUGUCGUCUACUGUCACCUCUGAGUAAAACAAAAAUUCAAUUA